AGCUGUAUCCCACGUGUAUUAUAUCUAUUGGACAAAUUUUGAGCCUUCAGAAUUUUCAACUCACUCUGUUUGGGACAGCUACAUCCAAAACUCACUCUUCUAUUACUACUUGAGAUCCAGAAACGUGUAUCUAGGAGCUGACUGAGAACAUCUAGGACUCCCUCUGUGGCAGGUCUUUUGACCUAUUGAUGUGCCUUUCUGUCCACUAUUAAUGGCGGAUUGUUUGUGAGUGCAAUAUUUACCUUAUCUUUUGUUAUUGUAUCAUAUGGUUUUACGCCAUGUUUUGUUUUAUAUUUAUGUUUUUA
Non-coding RNA from Pelobates cultripes (western spadefoot toad), 305 nucleotides. Lineage: Eukaryota; Metazoa; Chordata; Amphibia; Anura; Pelobatidae. The record is from the annotation of a GenBank genome assembly.